RNAcentral lists this ribosomal RNA (591 nucleotides) under uncultured bacterium. RNAcentral's name for it is "bacterial SSU rRNA". The stretch from base 1 to 525 matches the Rfam family "Bacterial small subunit ribosomal RNA", at positions 338 to 873 of the family's 1533-position model. The record is from RNAcentral.
CCUACGGGAGGCAGCAGUGGGGAAUAUUGCACAAUGGGCGCAAGCCUGAUGCAGCGACGCCGCGUGAGGGAUGACGGCCUUCGGGUUGUAAACCUCUUUUCAGUAGGGAAGAAGCGAAAGUGACGGUACCUGCAGAAGAAGCGCCGGCUAACUACGUGCCAGCAGCCGCGGUAAUACGUAGGGCGCAAGCGUUAUCCGGAAUUAUUGGGCGUAAAGAGCUCGUAGGCGGUUUGUCGCGUCUGCCGUGAAAGUCCGGGGCUCAACUCCGGAUCUGCGGUGGGUACGGGCAGACUAGAGUGAUGUAGGGGAGACUGGAAUUCCUGGUGUAGCGGUGAAAUGCGCAGAUAUCAGGAGGAACACCGAUGGCGAAGGCAGGUCUCUGGGCAUUAACUGACGCUGAGGAGCGAAAGCAUGGGGAGCGAACAGGAUUAGAUACCCUGUAGUCCAUGCCGUAAACGUUGGGCACUAGGUGUGGGGGACAUUCCACGUUUUCCGCGCCGUAGCUAACGCAUUAAGUGCCCCGUCUGGGGAGACGCGCAAGACAAACUAAAUAGAGUAGAGNGNGAGAGNGCGAGACGACGACGAGGAGAG